CAAAGCGUAGCUUAAUAAAAGCAUUUGGCUUACACCCAAAAGAUUUCACUCAGUGUGACCACUUUGA
This 67-nucleotide transfer RNA is filed under the name Conepatus leuconotus (eastern hog-nosed skunk). RNAcentral's name for it is "tRNA-Val". It matches the Rfam family "tRNA". Rfam says of the family: Transfer RNA (tRNA) molecules are approximately 80 nucleotides in length. Their secondary structure includes four short double-helical elements and three loops (D, anti-codon, and T loops). The record is from RNAcentral. Lineage: Eukaryota; Metazoa; Chordata; Mammalia; Carnivora; Mephitidae.